This 117-nucleotide non-coding RNA is filed under the name Pan troglodytes (chimpanzee). The record is from Rfam by way of RNAcentral. Lineage: Eukaryota; Metazoa; Chordata; Mammalia; Primates; Hominidae.
GCCGGGUGUGGUGGCUCACGCCUGUAAUCCCAGCACUUUGGGAGGCUGAGGUGGGUGGAUCACCUGAGGUCAGGAGUUCAAGACCAGCCUGGCCAACAUGGUGAAACCCUGUCUCUA